This 397-nucleotide long non-coding RNA is filed under the name Lupinus mutabilis. RNAcentral describes it as "partial ncRNA". The record is from RNAcentral. Lineage: Eukaryota; Viridiplantae; Streptophyta; Magnoliopsida; Fabales; Fabaceae.
UCCUUCAAUCCUUCGAGGAAACAGCGACCUUUUGCUCCAAACAUAAGUCAAAGUGAUACGAGCAGAGAUAAGAAUCUCGCACCUUUAAUCGAUGAGCCUGAAAGUGAUAAUGAUAGUCGGCCGGAUGAAAAUAAACAAACUGCAAAGAUUGCCGAAAUAAAAGAGCAAGAUGAGGUGUCAGAUGCUGAAAUUUCUACCGAAUCCACUCCAGCGAUAUCAGUAUCUCACUUUGAGAAUGAUGGAGAUAAGCCAAGUGGAGUUGGCAAGACUGAUGAGGAAAACUUUAGAGAAAAGGAAGAAAAGUCACAAGAUGAAGUGUCGAGGGUGGCUCAGACUACAUCGUUACCAGAUAGCUCAGAAAGUCAAAAUAAUUCUGAGUUACCAUCAAACAGUCCAA